GACGAACGCUGGCGGCGUGCUUAACACAUGCAAGUCGAACGGAAAGGCCCUGCUUUUGUGGGGUGCUCGAGUGGCGAACGGGUGAGUAACACGUGAGUAACCUGCCCUUGACUUUGGGAUAACUUCAGGAAACUGGGGCUAAUACCGGAUAGGAGCUCCUGCUGCAUGGUGGGGGUUGGAAAGUUUCGGCGGUUGGGGACGGACUCGCGGCUUAUCAGCUUGUUGGUGGGGUAGUGGCUUACCAAGGCUUUGACGGGUAGCCGGCCUGAGAGGGUGACCGGCCACAUUGGGACUGAGGUACGGCCCAGACUCCUACGGGAGGCAGCAGUGGGGAAUAUUGCACAAUGGGCGGAAGCCUGAUGCAGCAACGCCGCGUGCGGGAUGACGGCCUUCGGGUUGUAAACCGCUUUCGCCUGUGACGAAGCGUGAGUGACGGUAAUGGGUAAAGAAGCACCGGCUAACUACGUG
RNAcentral lists this ribosomal RNA (468 nucleotides) under uncultured bacterium. RNAcentral describes it as "partial 16S ribosomal RNA". It matches the Rfam family "Bacterial small subunit ribosomal RNA", at positions 28 to 507 of the family's 1533-position model. The record is from RNAcentral.